UACGAAGGGGGCUAGCGUUGUUCGGAUUUGCUGGGCGUAAAGCGCACGUAGGCGGAUCUUUAAGUCAGAGGUGAAAUCCCAAGGCUCAACCUUGGAACUGCCUUUGAUACUGGGGAUCUUGAGUCCGGGAGAGGUGAGUGGAACUGCGAGUGUAGAGGUGAAAUUCGUAGAUAUUCGCAAGAACACCAGUGGCGAAGGCGGCUCACUGGCCCGGUACUGACGCUGAGGUGCGAAAGCGUGGGGAGCAAACAGG
Molecule: ribosomal RNA, 253 nt
Filed under: uncultured bacterium
Lineage: Bacteria
Description: partial 16S ribosomal RNA
Rfam family: Bacterial small subunit ribosomal RNA
Source: RNAcentral